AGUUAUAACAAAAGCAGUUUGACACUGUAUUGCAUUUCCUCAACCUCUAUAUAUUUUAUAAUCUUAGCUUUAAUUUUUAAUGCAUGUGACCAGAAAAUAAGUAAUCUACCUCAGUAGUUUAUACUGGAAAAUCAGAAUGGUAGAAGGAAGGUCAGAAGUGUCCAGAAAACAGUCGAAUGCAUUGCUCAUUCAUGCUUCUUUUCCAAGAGCAGCAAAUAAGUUACGAGCUUGAAUGUAGUUAGAGAGAUUUUGAAAUUUUGAUUCUGACAUUAGCAGUGUGGGAAUAGAUGGCUGCUGGCAGGCAGACAGCCAAAGGCUUCUCAAUGAGGUGAUGGUGGAGCACUUCUUUCGACAAGGAAUGCUGGAUGUAGCUGAGGAGCUCUGUCAGGAAUCUGGUCUUUCUGUAGACCCAAGUCAGAAGGAACCAUUUGUGGAGUUAAAUAGAAUAUUAGAGGCAUUAAAGGUCAGAGUUCUGA
Molecule: small RNA, 476 nt
Filed under: Pongo abelii (Sumatran orangutan)
Lineage: Eukaryota; Metazoa; Chordata; Mammalia; Primates; Hominidae
Description: processed transcript
Source: RNAcentral